UACACUCUUAACGCUAUUCAUGAUUCAUGUUCAUACAGCGUAUCGUUUUGAGUGAUAUAUUGUGUAUCCAACAUCGAACCAGAGGAUGGAAACUCGAGUUAUCAAAAUCUAAAUUCACUAUGCCUCGAAAAACGCUAAAAACGUAUCAACAAUCACGUUGACCUAUUGAAAAAUUAACGAUUUGAAGGUGUAUCCCUGAAAUCUGGCAAAUUUGUUGCUUCGUGACAGAAGCGUGAUAUCUUAAGUUUUGUUUCGUUUCGUCUCUGUUCAACUUCUUUUCUUGUUUUUCUCUCGCGUUCACCUCCCCUUUACUUUUCAACCCUUAAGCACAUUAUCCCCCGAAAAAAAAGGAGAGCACUCUUCACCCUUCCUCCCCCUCCGCCCCUUCUCUUUCUCUCUGUCUCUCUGUCUCUCACCAAGUCUCUCAUUUUUCCCCCCUCUUUCAAUAUAUCGCGUAUUUUUCUUUCUUUUUAUUAAAUGUACACGAUAACAACAGAAUUUUCGGUACUCUUGCACGUUAGAAACGUGGAUGAGUGAUUGUAUAUUUGAACGGCAGCCGAUUAUCGGCCGAUUCCUUCCUUUACGCGAGUGAAUGCUCCCUACGUUUAACUGGUGUCAAUGUACACACAGUGUAACGUUAUUGUAGCAUUAGCCAGAAAGCAUUUCUAAAAGAAUCUUCGUCUAACUAGAAUUCGACAUGAUGAAGAGCAGUGCUAUGCUUAAGAAAGAAAGCAAAAUGCGCAUACGUGCUUUUCCGACUACUAUGGAUGAAAAGUAUGUAGAAAGUAUUUGGGCACUACUAAAAAAUGCAAUUCAGGAAAUUCAGAAGAAAAAUAAUUCUGGUCUUAGCUUUGAAGAACUUUAUCGGAAUGCUUAUACUAUGGUUCUCCAUAAGUAUGGAGAACGUUUAUAUACAGGUUUAAAGGAAGUAGUAACGCAUCAUUUGGAAAAUAAAGUACGAGAAGAUGUAUUGAGAUCUCUCCACAAUAAUUUUCUUCAAACGUUAAAUCAAGCUUGGAACGAUCAUCAGACAUCGAUGGUAAUGAUCAGAGAUAUUUUGAUGUACAUGGAUAGAGUGUAUGUUCAACAGAAUGAUGUAGACAAUGUUUAUAAUUUGGGACUUAUCAUAUUUAGAGAUCAAGUGGUCAGAUACGGAUGUGUUAGAGACCAUUUACGAGAAACAUUAUUAGGUAUGGUAGCAAGAGAAAGAAGAGGAGAAGUAGUAGAUCGCAUCGCCAUAAAGAAUGCUUGUCAAAUGUUAAUGUUACUUGGCAUCAACAGUCGUCAAGUGUACGAAGAAGAUUUUGAAAGGCCUUUUUUACAACAGAGCGCUGAAUUUUAUAGAAUGGAGUCUCAAAAAUUUUUGGCAGAAAAUAGUGCAUCGGUAUAUAUAAAAAAAGUUGAAGCUAGAAUUUGCGAAGAAUCUGAAAGAGCAAAACAUUAUUUAGACGAAUCCACCGAACCACGAAUAGUAGAAGUUGUAGAAGAAGAACUAAUUAAAAUUCAUAUGAGAACUAUCGUUGAGAUGGAAAACAGUGGUGUAGUACAUAUGCUCAAAAACCAGAAAACUGAAGAUCUCGGUUGCAUGUAUAAAUUAUUUUCAAGAGUUUCGGACGGACUACGUACAGUAUGCGAUUGUGUUUCUCAGUUUCUCAAGGAACAAGGACGUGCCAUGGUUCAAGAGGAACACGAGUCAACAACAAAUGCCGUUCUUUUUAUUCAGAAUUUAUUGGAUUUAAAAGACCGUUUUGAUCAUUUUCUUCAUUGUUCGUUCAACAACGAUAAAAAUUACAAGCAAAUGAUUGCGUCGGACUUUGAAUACUUUUUAAAUUUGAACACCAAGAGUCCAGAAUACCUGUCCCUCUUCAUUGAUGACAAGCUGAAAAAAGGUGUUAAAGGGAUGACAGAGCAAGAAAUUGAAGGUAUUUUAGACAAAACCAUGGUUUUGUUUCGAUUUCUCCAAGAAAAAGACGUGUUUGAACGAUAUUAUAAACAACAUUUAGCGAAACGUCUUCUCUUGAAUAAAUCAGUGUCCGACGAUAGUGAAAAAAACAUGAUAUCCAAACUUAAGACUGAAUGUGGAUGUCAAUUCACGUCAAAAUUAGAAGGGAUGUUUAAAGAUAUAACAGUCAGUAAUACCAUCAUGGAUGAAUUUAAGGAUCAUGUCCUUACAUCUAAUACAAAUCUGCACGGUGUGGAUAUAAGUGUAAGGGUUUUAACAACUGGCUUUUGGCCAACACAGUCUGCAACUCCAAAGUGUAGUAUGCCAGUAGCUCCGCGAGAUGCUUUCGAUGCCUUCCGACGUUUUUAUCUUGCUAAACACAGUGGCCGACAACUAACGUUACAACCGCAAUUAGGUUCCGCGGAUUUAAAUGCUGUAUUUCAUGGACCACGAAGAGAAGAAAACAGUUGCGGCGGUCUAGAUACACCAUCGUCUUCAAGUUCCAUUGGUAACGGAAGUGGAAGCACUAACGGUAGUAUUUUAAGUCAACGUAGCAGCAGUUGUGGAAACACAAGGAAACAUAUAAUACAAGUAUCAACUUACCAAAUGUGCGUUUUGAUGCUGUUCAACAAAAGAGACAAAUUAACGUAUGAGAUUAUCUGUACAAUGUGUGAAACGUUGCGUAGGAAAUUCAAGGUGAAACCGAUAUUCCAGAGAGAGACUUGGUUAGAGCAUUGCAAUCUCUCGCAAUGGGCAAAGCUACGCAAAGAGUAUUGUUGAAACAUCCCCGUACAAAGGAAAUAGAACCUUCGCACUGUUUUUGUGUCAACGACAGCUUUACCAGUAAAUUACACAGAGUAAAGAUUCAAACGGUGGCAGCAAAAGGUGAAUCAGAACCGGAAAGGAGAGAAACGCGUAAUAAAGUCGAUGAAGACAGAAAACACGAGAUAGAAGCAGCUAUUGUUCGUAUUAUGAAAGAUAGGAAGCGCAUGCCU
RNA transcript from Osmia lignaria (orchard mason bee), 2937 nucleotides. It is a transcript of the gene named cullin 3, with no coding region annotated. Lineage: Eukaryota; Metazoa; Arthropoda; Insecta; Hymenoptera; Megachilidae. The record is from RefSeq and is a predicted model, not a curated record.